Molecule: long non-coding RNA, 8366 nt
Filed under: Triticum aestivum (bread wheat)
Lineage: Eukaryota; Viridiplantae; Streptophyta; Magnoliopsida; Poales; Poaceae
Description: long non-coding RNA (TAES_LNC009756)
Source: RNAcentral
AUAAGCUUAAAUAGUCUUGAUCGCGAGGUUGCGAGAUUGCUGAGUCCCCGUGGCUCAUAGAUACUUCCAAAACCAGUUUGCAGGUGCCGAUGAGACCGUGCAGAUGACGCAACCAAGCUCAGGAGGAGCUCGAUGAAGAUCUUGUUCUUUGUGUUGUUUCGUUCUAGUAGAUCAGUAGUGGAGCCCAGUUGGGGUCGAUCGGGGACCUUUGUCGCAUUUGGGGUUCUUCUUUUAUUUUGGUUCCGUAGUCGGACCAUGAGUGUAUUUGGUUGAUGUAAUGCUCUAUUCAUGUAUUUGUGUGAAGUGGCGAUUGUAAGCCAACUAUGUAACUUUUCCCCUAUUGUAUUACAUGGGUUGUGUGAAGAUUACCUCACUUGCGACAUUGCCUUCAAUGCGAUUAUGCCUCUAAGUCAUGCCUCGACACGUGGGAGAUAUAGUCACAUCGAGGGUGUUACAAGUUGGUAUCAGAGCCUUCCCCGACCUUAGGAGCCCCCUUUGCUUGAUCGUUUUUAGCAACCGAGUUGUGUCUAGAAAAAUGUUUUGAGUCCUUAGGAAUUAUAUAUCGGAGAGCUUAGGAAUUCUUUUUUACUUCCCAGUCUCCUCAUCGCUCUGGUAAGGCAUCCUGACGUAGAGUUUGACUCUUUUCUUCUCAAAUUUCACUAAUUUUUUUUAGGAUCACGCGAGUAUCUUGGAUUUGUUCCGAUGGCUUAUGAUGAGAAUACUGUCUUGGUGCCUCCUGUCAGGGGUUUAGUGGAAGUGUCCCGGGGAGUUGAGCUCUGAGGUGUUGUCAUCAUAAUUUUAUCGUUGCAAUUCUGGUAUACUUGAGAUAUGUUCGCGACAUUGAAAAUCUCCUUUAUGCAGUUUGUUGGUGAGAUAACCUCGACGCCACCCAGUACUGGGGCGGGAGUUCGGGAGUAUCGCCAUAACUUGUAUAACGGAUGCUUUUAGAAGGUUGAGGUAGAUGGUUUCCGAAGAUUUCUUGGUUAUGUGUUGAAGGAUGGAUACACCUGGAUGUAGGAUUUGCUAGUUUGUGUGAGAUAUUAUGCUUCCCCUGUAUCCCCAACACCUGAUUGCAUAACCGGAAAGUUUCGGGAGUUUCAUAGGUGGGAAUUCAAGUAGCUCUUAGGAUAUCUUUCUGUCAGAUGUAUGAUAUGAAAUUGGGGUUCGACGUCUAGUGGUUCGCCUAUUCACGGUCGAUUUUAUAGUGGUCUCGUUGUGUCUUAAAGAGUCCUUGGCUAUGCUGACUCGGGGACGCUUCGUAUGUCAUGUGCACUUCCUUGUACAUGAUGGUGCUGUACGGUCGAGCCCGUGUAGGUCCCACCACGAAAACUUCGGACGAAAUCUCUAUCAUAUGUUUGUUCUGGCUUAUUCUGCAAGCCAACCUUUUGUUUUUGUUUUGAGUUGUGGUAUUCGAGUUGCUUCGAAGUCAAAUGUUGAUUCCAUACCUUUCAUAAAUGGUGUUCUCAUACUCUGAUGUGAAUACCAAUCCUUCAUGAUAAUUGAGUUUGUCAUUUCAAUUUCUUCUCACCGGCGUGUUUUCUCUUCAAGUGGAUACAAUCAUUUCAACUUCCGCAAGAUCAAUUAUCACUUCUUCUUAACGGUGUUUGUUUCAUUCGUCUCCAAGUUGCCUUUGUUUUCCCACCCUCCCUCCCUUGCUUUUCUCCGAGGACUCAUAUAUCUAAUCAAGUAUCAUUUUAUUGAUGUGAAGUCUAUUCUUUCUUUCCUAUCAAUAUUCUUACCCGGUGUUGCUCAUGAAGUUUCUAACGGAGCUUCAAGUUCGUCACUCUUUACUCAUUUUCCUUCUCCGGUGGAUUCAACUCAAGCCUUCGGUGUUGAUCAUAUCCUUUUCCUCGUUUCAGAAGCUUUAUCAUACCGGUGCUCAUCAUAUUCAUUCACUUCUCGCUAUUCAAUUGUUUCGGAGUGCUCAAGAUAUCUCGAAGAUUCGUGUUUCCACUCUUCUUUCAUUCAAGCUUUUUCGAGGAUGUUAUAUCAUUCAAGCCUUUUUUAAUUCAACCGGUGCAACCUCUCUUUUAAAUCAUUUCAACGGUGUAUCUUUUCAGUGGGCCCUAACCCACAGGUCUUUUUUCCAGGAUCUUACCUGACUCUUCUUAUUUUCCCGGAGUUAUCCUAAAUUACUUUCGAAGCUUGACGUAAGAAUGAUUUAUCAUCAGUCAAAUGCCUUUCUCCAAGAUCUCUCAAUUUCUUAUCGUCGUUGGGUCAACCUUUUCCAUUAUUCAUUCCGGAGUGCCUCAAUAAUUCUUGGUAGUGUUUCUCGUUGUCAUUCUCAUCAUUUGAAGACCAAAGAAGAUUUUUCUCUCAAUCUUGCUCCAUUCUCUUCAAGUUUCGCGAUUCUGUCUUGUUGCCAUCCUCUCAUAAUUAUUUGCGGUUGUGAGAUAUUCUUUUCAACCAUCCGGAGCAAUUCAGGAGCCUUUUUCAGUUUGUUCAUCCGGAGUCCAUCAUCUCAGAAUUUAUUCAUUCUCAGCUUUCAGCUCUCGUUCUUCAAUUUUACCGGUGCAGCGUUCAAGUGAUCUCUAAUCGGUCCAUGAUCUAUUAUAUUCACUUGUAUCUAAAUUCUCUCAAGCAUCUUCGUCCAUUUGCUAAUUCUUUCCGGUGUUUCCUUAUCUUUACUUUGUUCAUAAUCAAUUCUUCCGGUGGUUCGUUCAAGAUUUCUCUUCCUUUCUUAUCAUAUCAAUUUUAUUUGUUGUUCCAAUCUUACCGGUGGUUCGUUGAAGACCUUCUCAAGUUGGCGCUAUAUCUAUCUUAAUCCUUUCUACGAGAAUAAGUAGUGUGCCAAAUCCAUUGAUUGUCAUCAAUUUAAUUGGUGAAGGAUACGCAUAACGUAAUUCUUAUUCUUGCUUCAUCCAAGUGAUUAAUUCUUUAUUCCGGAGGCUCAUCUAAAUUCUUGAUCUCAAUUGUUCAUCAUAUAUUUUUCCGGAGUUCCAAGCCCUCUCAACUAUAUCGUCACGAAGAUCCGUCUAAUCAUUUUAAGGGUUCAACCUGUGUUUUCAACUUUUCUUUCCAUUUGUCUGACCAUUCUUUUACCGGAGUUUCUUCAUGGAGGCUAUACAUGAGGGUUCAUCAAAGAUUAUUUCCUUCUCGAAGUUUUCAUCGAGAUUCUUUUAAGAAGCUCAAGUUUUUCUUCAUCUUGCAAUCCGGAGUGCAUUUCUUCUACCGUAUCUUUGGAGGUGGUAUUAUGUCAUUCUUGAUAAUUUGAGCUCAUGUUUCAUGAUUCACAUGUUGUCAUGAAUGAGAUAUUUUUAAAUCCAUCAAUCUCGUCAUUGGAGUUAUCUUGGGUUAUAUUUCACCUAAAGCCUACCCUAAGGAGUGGUGCUAUUAUGGUGCUUAUAAGUGAUCCAAGUUCUUCAUUUAUCCUCCCGGUGAUAUAAGUUCUCGUCUCCUUGUUGUUAUCAAUCUAAUAUAUCGUUUCUGUUAGUGGUAGAAUUCACCUCAUAGUUUUGAGAUGUUUUCCAUAAGCCCACUACAAACUUAUUAUUUUCGUUGUUGGUUUUCCAACAACUCCGUUCUAGCUUUUGUUGUAAGCGUGCUCCCUCGAGUUCUGUUUCCCUUCGUUCAUCCCAUUCCAUUCUUACUUUUGUUCCGGAGGCAUUGUGAUGUUGUUCUGUUCAACCUUCUUCUUGUUCUUGUCAGGAUCAUGUUCUUUUCAUGUUUAUCCAGUUAACCGGAGUGUUGUGUCCUCUUGUCAAGUAUCCUCUCAUCUUGCCUUGUUCAAUUCCUUCCAUUUACAGACGGAGUGCUGUCCAAAUUAUAUCGCUCUUAUUCCUUCCCUAUCUUGCUUAACCGGAGUAUUGUGCCCCUUUGUUCAAGUUCUUUUUGCCUUAUCAAGCCUUGCAUCCCUUUCUCAACCAGAGUGCCGUGUUUUCAUUUGAGCUCGCUCAUCUUAUCAAAUUUUGACUCCCUUCUCAACCGGAGUGCUGUCUGAGAUUUUUCUUACCCCUUGUUCCAUUCAUUCAAUAGUUCCGGUGGCAGUGUGUUGUGAUUUUAUCAAGUAUCUUCUCAUCUUAUCAAGACCUUAUUCAAUUCUUUUCUUUCCAACCGGAGUGCUGCCCGAUUUUUUGUUUUCCUUGAUCCCCUUCCUUAACUGGAGUGUUUCAAUAUAUAUCUUCCCUUCAACCGCAAGGUUUCGCAAUGCUCUUUGUCCCUCUUUUCUAACUGAGUGUUUUCGACUUUGUCCACCUUCGUUGUAUUCUUUUCUCGAAAUGGCUUAACCUUUUUCAAGGUUCUUUGGUUUCACUCGUUUGUCAAAGAAGCAACUUAGUUUUACCUCUCCUCUUCCUCUUCCGUUUUCCCCCCGGUGCUAUUCUAGAUCUCGGGACGAGAUCCUCUCGUAGUGGUGGAGUGUUGUAACGCCCCGAGACCGAUGUGCCAGGUGUCGUUCUGUUAUUCGCUGUUGUUGCCAUGUCAUUGCUUGCGUGUCAUUCAUUGCAUAUCAUGUCAUCAUGUGCAUUUCAUUUGCAUACAUGUUCAUCUCAUGCAUCCGAGCAUUUUCCCCGUUGUCCGUUUUGCAUUCCGGCGCUUCGUUCUCCUCCGGUGGUCAUUUCUACCUUCCUCAUGUAUGUGGGGGUUAAACAUUUCCGGAUUGGACCGAGACUUGCCAUGCGGCCCUGGUUUACUACCGGUAGACCGCCUGUCAAGUUUCGGGUCAUUUGGACUUCGUUUGAUACUCCAACGGUUAACCGAGGGACCGAGAAGGCCUCGUGUGUGUUGCAGCCCAACACCCUUCCAAAGUGGCCCAAAAACCCACCUAACUCUGCUCCAUCGUCUCGGUCGUUCGAUCACGAUCGCGUGGCCGAAAACCGCACCCCAUUUGGACUCUCCUAGCUCCCUCUGCCUAUAUAUAUGUCAUCCCCUCCGUUCUGGUCCGUCAGAUCGCUAUCGGAGGCUCCGAAACGCUCCAAAAACCCCCCUAACCCUAAAACCUGCCCUAUAUAAACCUUCUCCCCUUCCAUUUUGGGCAGCUACCUACCCCUCCUCCUAAAUUUCUGUGCCCCAAUCAUCUCCCAGCCGCCUCCCACCUCCUCUCCUCGAAUUCCGGCGUCGGCCAACCCCUCAAGCGCCACUUGGCGCCGCCCAACUGGCCAGCCGCUGCGGGCCAGGAGCUCUCCUCCACUCCGCAUGUGCCACGUCGCCCCCCUGGUGCCCACUUCGCCGCGGCCCUCGUGGCCCAUCCGCGGCCCGCCCCAGGCCGAUCUGGGCCCGCGCCUUCCCGCACAGCGCCGCCGUCUCGCUUUGGAUCGGGAGGAGCCCGAUCCCGCAGCUGCCUCCGCCGCCGAGCGCCUCUCCGCCGGCGACCUCGCCUGCUCGCCGGAUCCGCCCUCCUCGCCGUGUCGCCCAUGCCCUUCCUCCCCUCGCCGAAACUGCAUUGUCGUCCUCUUCUCCGGGGAUCGCCGGAGCGCGCCGCCCUGCGACUUGGAGCCCCGUCCGGCGCCGCUGUCGCCAGAUCCGGUCAUUACGCGCUGGGAUCCGCCCCUUCCUGCUCAUGGCCGGCCUCCCCUCGCCGGAGCACAUCUCCGCCGGAACCGCGCCGCCGUCCACGGCUUCACCGGAGUCAUUUCUCCCUGCGCUAGAUCGGGAGGAGCCCGAUCCAUCUGCGUUGACCGCGCCUGUGCCUCCACGUGGGCCACGCCCGAGUCUGGCCCAGCUCGCCGGCCUCCUUCCUCUUCAUUUCGGGCCGCGCUCCCGGGCCCAUCUCCAGCGCCGGCCUCGCUUGGCCUCCUCCCCAGCUCCCUUCGCCAGCCGCGUGGGCCGCAUCCAGAGCCCAGCCGGCCUCGCCUCGGCCUCCUUCCUUCUCUGCUGGGCCAGGCCCCAGGGUGAGCCGCCCCAGCGCCCCCCUCCUCUAUUUUUUUCUGCUGCUGUUGGGCUUGCCCAGUGCACUGUUCAGAUUUGGCCCGUGAUGUAUUUUUUCAGCGCCUGCGAUUUUUUCCUAUUAUUCCUGAGUUAGCAGUUUUGCAGUUUAGUCCUCCUAGAUCAUGCAUUUAAUAACCCAUUAACCGUGCAUCGGAUGUAAAUAAUUUAUAUAUGAAACUUGCUUAAAAUUAUGUGUAGAUUAAUAAUAUGUCACAUUCACCUAUGUUUGAAAUAUUUAAAAUUAUGUUUGAUUAAAUUUGCUCCUAUGCCAUGUUAAAAUGAUUUAAUUCAUAACUAAAUAACCGUAGCUCCGAUUUAAAUAAACUUUAUAUGUAAAUGGGGUAGAUUUUCGCCUAGUUUAUCAUGGUGGCAUCACUUUGCAUGUUUAAUAACUCUAAAAUUAUGUUUAGGGCAGAUCAGGACCAAAUCUAAAAUAUGCUAUGGGGAUUUUCCGGAAUUAUUGUUCGUUGCUUCCGGCCUCAUUUAAACUUGACUAGAUAGGUAGUUUUACUUUGCUUCACCCUCUUGCCAUGUUUAACAACAUUUAAUAUUGUUGGGUACUUAAACGAGAGAGAACUAAAUAAUUGAUGUGGUGUUUUGUCAAUAUGCAUCUCGUUGCAUAUUGAGUUCCACUUAAAUUGUAGGAUUGCUUGUGCACCUUGCCAUGCCAUGCCUCUUUAAACCGGACAUGCAUCAUACUCGAUUGUGCAUCAUGCCAUGUUGAUGUGUUGGUUGCUUACUAUGUUGUGUGCUUCUUUUCCGGUGAUUGCUUCUUCGGGUUGGUUCCGGUAACCUCGUGUUGUGAGGAUCCGUUCGUCUACGUCCGUUUGUCUUCUUCAUGGACUCGUUCUUCUUCCUUGCGGGAUUUCAGGCAAGAUGAUCAUACCCUCGAAAUCACUACUAUCUUUGCUAUGCUAGUUUGCUCGCUCUUUUGCUAUGCCAAUGCUACGAUGCCUACCACUUGCUUGUCAGCCUCCCAAAUUGCCAUGUUCAGCCUCUAACCCACCAUUGUCCUAGCAAACCGUUGAUUGGCUAUGUUACCGCUUUGCUCAGCCCCUCUUAUAGCGUUGUUAGUUGCAGGUGAAGAUUGAAGUUUUGUUCCUUGUUGGAACAUGGAGAUCGUUCCUUGUUGGAACAUUGUUUUCUUGUUGGGAUAUCACCAUAUAUCUUAUUUAAUUAAUGCAUCUAUAUACUUGGUAAAGGGUGGAAGGCUCGGCCUUAUGCCUGGUGUUUUGUUCCACUCUUGCCGCCCUAGUUUCCGUCAUAUCGGUGUUAUGUUCCCGGAUUUUGCGUCCCUUACGCGGUUGGGCUAUAAUGGGAACCCCUUGACAGUUCGCCUUAAGUAAAGCUUUGCCAGCAAUGCCCAACAUUGGUUUUACCAUUUGCCACCUAGCCUUUUUCCCUUGGGAGUCGUGCAUCCCGAGGGUCAUCUUUAUUUUACCCCCCCGGCCAGUGCUUGUCUAAGCGUUGGUCCAAACUAGAGCCCCUUGCAGCGCCACCUCGGGGAAACUUGAGGGGUGGUUUUAGUUGUACGGAUUGCUUAUCCGGUGUUGCCCUGAGAACGAGAUAUGUGCAGCUCCCAUCAGGAUGUCGGCGCAUCGGGCGGUGUUGCUGGUUUAGUUUUACCCAUGUCGAAAUGUCUUGUUAUACUGGGAUACCGAGUCUGAUCGGAAUAUCUCGGGUGGAGGUCUAUUCCUUCGUUGACCGUGAGAGCUUGUCAUGGGCUAAGUUGGGACACCCUGCAGGGAUUUGAACUUUCGAAAGCCGUGCCCGCGGUUAUGGGCAGAUGGGAAUUUGUUAACGUCCGGUUGUAGACAACCUGAACUUGACCUUAAGUAAAAUGAAUCAACUGUGUGUGUAACCGUGAUGGUCUCUUUCCGGCGGAGUCCGGGAAGUGAACACGGUUGUUGGAGUUAUGCUUGACGUAGGUAGUAUAGGAUCACUUCUUGAUCAUACUUUAUCGACCGUGCUUUGCCUUCUCUUCUCGCUCUCAUUUGCGUAUGUUAGCCACCAUAUAUGCUAGUCGCUUGCUGCAGCUCCACCUCAUACCUUUACCUUACCCAUAAGCUUAAAUAGUCUUAAUCGCGAGGGUGCGAGAUUGCUGAGUCGCCAUGGCUCACAGAUACUUCCAAAACCAGUUUGCAGGUGCCGAUGAGACCAUGCAGAUGACGCAACCAAGCUCAGGAGGAGCUCGAUGAAGAUCUUGUUCUUUGUGUUGUUUCGUGCUAGUAGAUCAGUAGUGGAGCCCAGUUGGGGUCGAUCGGGGACCUUUGUCGCAUUUGGGGUUCUUCUUUUAUUUUGGUUCCGUAGUCGGACCAUGAGUGUGUUUGGUUGAUGUAAUGCUCUAUUCAUGUAUUUGUGUGAAGUGGCGAUUGUAAGCCAACUAUGUAACUUUUCCCCUAUUGUAUUACAUGGGUUGUGUGAAGAUUACCUCACUUGCGACAUUGCCUUCAAUGCGAUUAUGCCUCUAAGUCGUGCCUCGACACGUGGGAGAUAUAGUC